AUCCAGCGCUGGUGAUCCAGCGCUGGUAAUCCAAUGUAGACACUUACCAGCGCUUUUCUUGACCUCCGUGGAAGGAGGAAGCCUCUGGUAAUCAAGCUGGUCUCCUUCCCUGCGGUUUGCUGGGUGGCUCCGGGAACGCGAGAGCAAACCGCGGCGAAGCGGGUCUCCUUUCCCGGUUUGCUCUCUCGUUCCCGGAGCCCCGAGCAAGCAGGUCUCCUUCCCUGCGGUUUGCUGGGUGGCUCCGGGAACGCGAGAGCAAACCGCGGCGAAGCGGGUCUCCUUUCCCGGUUUGCUCUCUCGUUCCCGGAGCCCCGAGCAAGCAGGUCUCCUUCCCUGCGGUUUGCUGGGUGGCUCCGGGAACGCGAGAGCAAACCGCGGCGAAGCGGGUCUCCUUUCCCGGUUUGCUCUCUCGUUCCCGGAGCCCCGAGCAAGCAGGUCUCCUUCCCUGCGGUUUGCUGGGUGGCUCCGGGAACGAGAGAGCAAACCGCGGCGAAGCGGGUCUCCUUUCCCGGUUUGCUCUCUCGUUCCCGGAGCCCAGAGCAAGCAGGU
Molecule: long non-coding RNA, 549 nt
Organism: Gopherus flavomarginatus (Mexican gopher tortoise)
Lineage: Eukaryota; Metazoa; Chordata; Testudines; Testudinidae
Exons: 3
Source: RefSeq, a predicted model, not a curated record